AUGUCUCCUUGCCACCGAUUCACGCCCUUCACAUCUCCUCACUGCCGAUUCACACCCUUCACGACUCCUCUCCGCCGAUGUUAUAACUGUUUCUUACAUCAUUCUUAUAUUUUUAUGCUAUAUGUUCAGUUUCAGUUUGAGUUCAGAAUUGGUUCAACUCAGUUUAUGUUGGGUUCAUGUGUGGCUUGGAAUUGCUUUCAUUUUGGUUCAAUCUUUGACUCUAACUUAAGUUACGGUUGUGGUUUAUGA
Non-coding RNA from Vicia faba (fava bean), 249 nucleotides. The record is from the annotation of a GenBank genome assembly. Lineage: Eukaryota; Viridiplantae; Streptophyta; Magnoliopsida; Fabales; Fabaceae.